GACGAACGCUGGCGGCGUGCUUAACACAUGCAAGUCGAACGGAAAGGCCCUGCUUUCGUGGGGUUCUCGAGUGGCGAACGGGUGAGUAACACGUGAGUAACCUGCCCUUGACUUUGGGAUAACUUCAGGAAACUGGGGCUAAUACCGGAUAGGAGCUCCUGCUGCAUGGUGGGGGUGGGAAAGUUUCGGCGGUUGGGGAUGGACUCGCGGCUUAUCAGCUUGUUGGUGGGGUAGUGGCUUACCAAGGCUUUGACGGGUAGCCGGCCUGAGAGGGUGAACGGCCACAUUGGGCCUGCGAGACGGACCAGAGUCCUACGGGAGGCAGCAGUGGGGAAUAUUGCACAAUGGGCGGAAGCCUGAUGCAGCGACGCCGCGUGCGGGAUGACGGCCUUCGGGUUGUAAACCGCUUUCGCCUGUGACGAAGCGUGAGUGACGGUAAUGGGUAAAGAAGCACCGGCUAACUACGUG
RNAcentral lists this ribosomal RNA (468 nucleotides) under uncultured bacterium. RNAcentral describes it as "partial 16S ribosomal RNA". It matches the Rfam family "Bacterial small subunit ribosomal RNA", at positions 28 to 507 of the family's 1533-position model. The record is from RNAcentral.